GAUGAACGCUAGCUACAGGCUUAACACAAGCAAGUCGAGGGGAAACGCCAUCGAAAGCUUGCUUUUGAUGGGCGUCGACCGGCGCACGGGUGAGUAACGCGUAUCCAACCUGCCCAUCACUUGGGAAUAACCUUGCGAAAGUAAGACUAAUACCCAAUGACAUCCCACGAAGACAUCUGAAUGGGAUUAAAGAUUUAUCGGUGAUGGAUGGGGAUGCGUCUGAUUAGCUUGUUGGCGGGGUAACGGCCCACCAAGGCAACGAUCAGUAGGGGUUCUGAGAGGAAGGUCCCCCACAUUGGAACUGAGACACGGUCCAAACUCCUACGGGAGGCAGCAGUGAGGAAUAUUGGUCAAUGGGCGAGAGCCUGAACCAGCCAAGUAGCGUGCAGGAUGACGGCCCUAUGGGUUGUAAACUGCUUUUAUAAGGGAAUAAAGUGGGUCUCGGGAGACUUUUUGCAUGUACCUUAUGAAUAAGGACCGGCUAAUUCCGUG
This 492-nucleotide ribosomal RNA is filed under the name uncultured bacterium. RNAcentral describes it as "partial 16S ribosomal RNA". It matches the Rfam family "Bacterial small subunit ribosomal RNA", at positions 28 to 507 of the family's 1533-position model. The record is from RNAcentral.